RNAcentral lists this ribosomal RNA (251 nucleotides) under uncultured prokaryote. Its description in RNAcentral is "partial 16S ribosomal RNA". It matches the Rfam family "Bacterial small subunit ribosomal RNA", at positions 525 to 775 of the family's 1533-position model. The record is from RNAcentral.
ACGUAGGGGGCAAGCGUUGAUCGGAAUCACUGGGCUUACAGCGCGUGUAGGCGGGGCGGCAGGUCUUCUGUGAAAGCCCCCGGCUCAACCGGGCGAGGACGUGCGGAACUGCUGAACUAGAGGCAGGUAGAGGCGUGUGGAAUUCCGGGUGUAGUGGUGAAAUGCGUAGAGAUCCGGAGGAACACCAGCGGCGAAGGCGACGCGCUGGGCCUGACCUGACGCUAAGACGCGAGAGCAUGGGGAGCGAACGG